CUUUAAUUGUCCAUCAUUCAGUUGGGCACUUUAAAGAGACUGCCGGUGUUAAACCGGAGGAAGUGGGGAUGACGUCAAGUCCUCAUGGCCUUUAUGCCCAGGGCUACACACGUGCUACAAUGGGUGGUACAAAGAGAUGCAAUCUCGCAAGAGCAAGCAAACCUCAAAAAGCCAUCCUCAGUUCGGAUUGGAGUCUGCAACUCGACUCCAUGAAGUCGGAAUCGCUAGUAAUCGCGGAUCAGCACGCCGCGGUGAAUACGUUCCCGGGCCUU
RNAcentral lists this ribosomal RNA (272 nucleotides) under uncultured Smithella sp. Its description in RNAcentral is "partial 16S ribosomal RNA". It matches the Rfam family "Bacterial small subunit ribosomal RNA", at positions 1109 to 1382 of the family's 1533-position model. Lineage: Bacteria; Pseudomonadati; Thermodesulfobacteriota; Syntrophia; Syntrophales; Smithellaceae. The record is from RNAcentral.